This 254-nucleotide ribosomal RNA is filed under the name uncultured bacterium. Its description in RNAcentral is "partial 16S ribosomal RNA". It matches the Rfam family "Bacterial small subunit ribosomal RNA", at positions 524 to 776 of the family's 1533-position model. The record is from RNAcentral.
UACGUAGGGUGCAGGCGUUAAUCGGAAUUACUGGGCGUAAAGCGUGCGCAGGCGGUCUCUUAAGACAGGUGUGAAAUCCCCGGGCUUAACCUGGGAACUGCGCUUGUAACUGAGAGGCUUGAGUGUGCCAGAGGGGGGUGGAAUUCCACGUGUAGCAGUGAAAUGCGUAGAUAUCGGGAGGAACACCAGUGGCGAAGGCGACUACCUGGCCUGUUUCUUGACGCUGAGGCGCGAAAGCUAGGGGAGCAAACGGG